GCCCUUAGAGUUUGAUCCUGGCUCAAAACGAACGCUGGCGGCGUGGAUAAGACAUGCAAGUCAAACGAGAGAAUUGCUAGCUUGCUAAUAAUUCUCUAGUGGCGCACGGGUGAGUAACACGUGAGUAACCUGCCCCCGAGAGCGGGAUAGCCCUGGGAAACUGGGAUUAAUACCGCAUAGUAUCGAAAGAUUAAAGCAGCAAUGCGCUUGGGGAUGGGCUCGCGGCCUAUUAGUUAGUUGGUGAGGUAACGGCUCACCAAGGCGAUGACGGGUAGCCGGUCUGAGAGGAUGUCCGGCCACACUGGAACUGAGACACGGUCCAGACACCUACGGGUGGCAGCAGUCGAGAAUCAUUCACAAUGGGGGAAACCCUGAUGGUGCGACGCCGCGUGGGGGAAUGAACGUCCUCGGAUUGUAAACCCCUGUCAUGUGGGAGCAAAUUAAAAAGAUAGUACCACAAGAGGAAGAGACGGCUAACUCUGUGCCAGCAGCCGCGGUAAUACAGAGGUCUCAAGCGUUGUUCGGAAUCACUGGGCGUAAAGCGUGCGUAUGCUGUUUCGUAAGUCGUGUGUGAAAGGCGCGGGCUCACCCCGCGGACGGCACAUGAUACUGCG
RNAcentral lists this ribosomal RNA (614 nucleotides) under uncultured bacterium. RNAcentral's name for it is "bacterial SSU rRNA". It matches the Rfam family "Bacterial small subunit ribosomal RNA", at positions 1 to 637 of the family's 1533-position model. The record is from RNAcentral.